GGGUUGUGAGGUUAAGCGACUAAGCGUACACGGUGGAUGCCCUGGCAGUCAGAGGCGAUGAAGGACGUGCUAAUCUGCGAUAAGCGUCGGUAAGGUGAUAUGAACCGUUAUAACCGGCGAUUUCCGAAUGGGGAAACCCAGUGUGAUCCGUCACACUAUCAUUAACUGAAUCCAUAGGUUAAUGAGGCGAACCGGGGGAACUGAAACAUCUAAGUACCCCGAGGAAAAGAAAUCAACCGAGAUUCCCCCAGUAGCGGCGAGCGAACGGGGAG
RNAcentral lists this ribosomal RNA (272 nucleotides) under Escherichia coli. RNAcentral describes it as "partial 23S ribosomal RNA". It matches the Rfam family "Bacterial large subunit ribosomal RNA", at positions 1 to 264 of the family's 2925-position model. Lineage: Bacteria; Pseudomonadati; Pseudomonadota; Gammaproteobacteria; Enterobacterales; Enterobacteriaceae. The record is from RNAcentral.